GGCGGGAUAGCUCAGUUGGUUAGAGCAGCGGAAUCAUAAUCCGCGUGUCGGGGGUUCAAGUCCCUCUCCCGCUACCA
RNAcentral lists this transfer RNA (77 nucleotides) under Alphaproteobacteria bacterium. RNAcentral's name for it is "tRNA-Met". It matches the Rfam family "tRNA". Rfam says of the family: Transfer RNA (tRNA) molecules are approximately 80 nucleotides in length. Lineage: Bacteria; Pseudomonadati; Pseudomonadota; Alphaproteobacteria. The record is from RNAcentral. RNAcentral also lists the same sequence under 2 other names.